UACGUAGGGCGCAAGCGUUGUCCGGAAUUAUUGGGCGUAAAGAGCUCGUAGGCGGCCAGUUGCGUCUGCUGUGAAAUCCCGGGGCUCAACCCCGGGCGUGCAGUGGAUACGGGCUGGCUAGAGGCCGGCAGGGGAGAACGGAAUUCCCGGUGUAGCGGUGAAAUGCGCAGAUAUCAGGAAGAACACCCGUGGCGAAGGCGGCUCUCUAGUACGGUACUGACGCUGAGACGCGAAAGCGUGGGGAGCGAACAGG
Molecule: ribosomal RNA, 253 nt
Filed under: uncultured bacterium
Lineage: Bacteria
Description: partial 16S ribosomal RNA
Rfam family: Bacterial small subunit ribosomal RNA
Source: RNAcentral